Molecule: long non-coding RNA, 1541 nt
Organism: Cervus elaphus (red deer)
Lineage: Eukaryota; Metazoa; Chordata; Mammalia; Artiodactyla; Cervidae
Exons: 3
Source: RefSeq, a predicted model, not a curated record
UUGGCCUCACAGUGAAGUUGCGGCUGCUCCUAGCGCUAGGGGAACUCACUGGGUUCUGCAUGAUCAUGUUGGCAAACAGGGGAGCGGAAUGCGUAACUAUCCUUCGGGAAAAGUUCCUUGGGUUUUUUCCCAAAUACACUCGGUUUGCCUUUGGCUUAAAAACUUAACCUCAGCGCAGUCUCCUCUGUGGACAGUUGUGGAGAAGAGAUUCUGAGUCAGGGUAAGAAUGCAGCCUCACUGACUGGAUGGGAAAUGAUAUACUAGGGAGGAAGAGGUACCUCUCCAUGUGUCAAAGACACACAUCCUCUAUGGACGUCAGGUUUUCUUCAUUAUUUUCUGAGCACCUCUAAUGUCCAGGACUAGCCCAGGUGCUGAGUGAAGGAUGAUGAACCACACAGACCUGGUCCCUGCCCUCAGGAGCUCUUGCUUUUGAUAACAUUCCCAAGUGGCUCAGCUGGUAAAGAAUCCACCUGCAAUGUGGGAGACCUGGGUUUGAUCCCUGGGUUGGGAAGAUCCCCUGGAGAAGGAAACAGCUACCCACUCCAGUAUUCUGGCCUGGAGAAUUCCAUGGACUACAGUCCACAGGGUGCAAAGAGUCAGACACGACUGAGCAACUUUUACUUCACUUCACCACAAUCAGUGUUUAUGUUUGCUGCUUCAUCUUAAAGGUAAGAUAAAAAUUCCUUUACGUAUAUUUCCCUCUAAACAUAGUCCUAAACUGUCUUCCAUUUCCCAGCAAAACCUCUAGAAAGAGUUGCUUAUAAUUGCUGUAUUCUUUUCUUAACUCUUCCUGCAUCUGGACUUCUGAAACAUAUCCCACGUCUAUUAUCAGAUCCCAGGAACCUCUCCCACCAAAAACCAUGCCUCUGUGAAGAACGUGCCUAUUUUUCAGUUCUGGUUUGACCUCUCAGCAUUAUUGGAAGUUCUUUAUCAUUCCCUGUUUCUCCAGACCCUCUUUGUUUAGCUUCAGGGGCUCCACAGAUCUUAAUUCUUCUCACCUCCAUUUUAUUUGGAGGUUCAUUUCAGCUGCUAGACCUGUAAGAUUCAGUUCUCCCCUCUUUUCACGUGCUGUCUUCCACCUAGGCAAUUUCAUCCAUUCCUCAGCCUUAAAUUAACAUCUUCAGAGGACUGUUCCACAUUUAUACCUCCAGCUCAGAUCUCUUCUCUGAAUUUCAGACUAGCAUUCCCAACAGGGCUUGGGUGAUUUCCUCUGGGAAUGUUUCACAGAAUUCUUAACCAGUUCAGGGUCUCUUACAGUGCAUUCCCAGUUCACUUUGUAUUUUUCUAUCUAUUUUAUUGUGAUUUUAUUACAUCUUCUUCCUUGAAAUGUACUCUGUGAGGUCAGAAACCCCACUACCCCACUACUAUGCCUAUCUUAUUCAUCACUUUACCCACAGUAUCUAGCAAAAUAUUUGCUUUGUAAUUACUAUUUAUUGAAAGUCUGAAUUGAUAAAUUUAGUGAUUCUUAUUUAAGACAUUGUAGGCGCUGAGCUGGAAGAAGCACAAACUGGAAUCAAGAUUGCCGGGAGAAAUAUCAAUAA